This 767-nucleotide ribosomal RNA is filed under the name uncultured bacterium. RNAcentral's name for it is "bacterial SSU rRNA". It matches the Rfam family "Bacterial small subunit ribosomal RNA", at positions 740 to 1510 of the family's 1533-position model. The record is from RNAcentral.
CUGACGCUGAAGGCACGAAAGCGUGGGGGAUCGAACAGGAUUUAGAUUACCCUGGUAGUCCAACGCCCGUAAACGAUGAUCCACUUCGCUGUUUUGCGAUAUACAGCAAGCGGCUGAGCGAAAGCAUUAAGUGAUCCACCUGGGGAGUACGAUCGCAAGGUUGAAACUCAAAGGAAUUGACGGGGGCCCGCACAAGCGGAGGAACAUGUGGUUUAAUUCGAUGAUACGCGAGGAACCUUACCUGGGCUUAAAUGUAGGCUGCAUUCGGCUGAAAGGCUGAUUCCCUUCGGGGCUGCUUACAAGGUGCUGCAUGGUUGUCGUCAGCUCGUGCCGUGAGGUGUCGGGUUAAGUCCCAUAACGAGCGCAACCCUUAUCGUUAGUUGCCAGCGGGUUAAGCCGGGGACUCUAGCGAGACUGCCACCGUAAGGUGAGAGGAAGGUGGGGAUGACGUCAAAUCAGCACGGCCCUUAUGUCCAGGGCUACACACGUGUUACAAUGGCCGAUACAAAGGGCAGCUACUUCGCGAGAAGAUGCUAAUCUCUAAAGUCGGUCCCAGUUCGGAUUGGAGUCUGCAACCCGACUCCAUGAAGUUGGAUUCGCUAGUAAUCGCGCAUCAGCCAUGGCGCGGUGAAUACGUUCCCGGGCCUUGUACACACCGCCCGUCAAACCAUGGGAGCUGGGGGUGCCUGAAGUCUGCCACCGCAAGGAGCGGCCUAGGGUAAAACCAGUGACUGGGGUUAAGUGGUAACAAGGUAACCAAGGGCGAA